UACAGAGGUCUCAAGCGUUGUUCGGAUUCAUUGGGCGUAAAGGGUGCGUAGGCGGCGCGGUAAGUCGGGUGUGAAAUCUCGGGGCUUAACUCCGAAACUGCAUUCGAUACUGCCGUGCUUGAGGACUGGAGAGGAGACUGGAAUUUACGGUGUAGCGGUGAAAUGCGUAGAGAUCCGGAAGAACACCGGUGGCGAAGGCGGCCUGCUGGGCUAUGGCUGACACUGAGGCGCGACAGCGUGGGGAGCAAACAGG
RNAcentral lists this ribosomal RNA (253 nucleotides) under uncultured bacterium. RNAcentral describes it as "partial 16S ribosomal RNA". It matches the Rfam family "Bacterial small subunit ribosomal RNA", at positions 524 to 776 of the family's 1533-position model. The record is from RNAcentral.